UCAGUUUCUGCUGAAGAAGAAUUCAAUAUUGAAAAGUUGCAGCUGGUAGAGGCAGAGAAGAAGAAGAUCAGGCAAGAGUAUGAGCGUAAAGAGAAGCAAGUCGAUGUUCGAAAGAAGAUUGAGUACUCCAUGCAGCUUAAUGCUUCUCGAAUUAAAGUUCUUCAAGCCCAAGAUGAUGUGGUUAAUGCCAUGAAAGAGGCAGCAGGAAAUGAUCUUCUGAAUGUGAGCCAUGAUCAUCAUGUUUACAAAAAGCUUCUGAAAGAUCUGAUAGUUCAGAGUUUGCUCAGACUGAAGGAGCCUUCUGUCCUGCUGCGAUGCCGAAAAGAUGACCUGCAUUUGGUGCAGUCUGUCCUGGAUUCUGCAAAGCAGGAAUAUGCAGAGAAAGUAAAUGUUCAU
This 396-nucleotide unclassified non-coding RNA is filed under the name Hevea brasiliensis (rubber tree). Lineage: Eukaryota; Viridiplantae; Streptophyta; Magnoliopsida; Malpighiales; Euphorbiaceae. The record is from RNAcentral.